Molecule: unclassified non-coding RNA, 200 nt
Filed under: Oidiodendron sp.
Lineage: Eukaryota; Fungi; Ascomycota; Leotiomycetes; Myxotrichaceae
Description: partial internal transcribed spacer 2
Source: RNAcentral
UUAAGUUCAGCGGGUAUCCCUACCUGAUCCGAGGUCAACCACAGAAAGGGGGGUUCUGGCAGGCUGCCGCCCAGGCCCAGAGCGAGAGUUGUACUACGCUUGGAGCUAGACGCAACCGCCACUGUCUUUAGGGCCGGCCGCGAGCGGGCAGGGCCCAACACCAAGCAGAGCUUGAGGGUUGAAAUGACGCUCGAACAGGC